Non-coding RNA from Salmo salar (Atlantic salmon), 502 nucleotides. The record is from RefSeq and is a predicted model, not a curated record. Lineage: Eukaryota; Metazoa; Chordata; Actinopteri; Salmoniformes; Salmonidae.
AGUACCCCAUGCCAGAGAGCAGGAGCCACAACUACAUGUAUCAGCUCUGCAAGUCUCUGGACCACAUACACAGUCAUGGGCUCUUCCACCAGGCUGUAAAACCAGAGAACAUUCUGAUUAAGAAGGACACUCUGAAGCUGGGGGACUUUGGCUCGUGUUAGAGUGUUUACUCCCGCCCUACACAGAGUACAUCUCUACACGUUGGUACAGAACCCCAGAGUGCCUCAUAACUGACGGACACAGCUCUCACAAGAUGGACGUCUGGAGCGUGUCUUCUACAAGAUCAUCAGCCCAGAGGGGAGUCCCAUCGCCAGGCCAUCGACAGCUGUACCAUCCCCCCCAUAGGACCAGUGGAGGGGGACACAGAGACCCAAAACAGACUGCUCACUACUCCCAGGCCCAUAAUGCUGGUGGUGUGGGAGGUGAAGACACAAUGUGGUUUAAUACAGGUUCCAAUAAACGCUCAGUUCAGCUCUUUUAGAGCCACAGCUAAACUACUAAA